Molecule: long non-coding RNA, 1071 nt
Filed under: Schizosaccharomyces pombe (fission yeast)
Lineage: Eukaryota; Fungi; Ascomycota; Schizosaccharomycetes; Schizosaccharomycetales; Schizosaccharomycetaceae
Description: centromeric lncRNA
Source: RNAcentral
UCAUAAACAAUUUGGUAAUUAAUCAUUGAAAAUAAUAAAGUUAAUGCUUUGUAUAUACAUUCUAACAGUCUAAAGUAGAGAUUGGAAGAGAAAAAGUUAAAGAUUGAAUGAGUGUUUAGUCAAAUUGAUCGACAUUAUUGAAAACCAAGAGAAAUCGAUCGAGCUAAAUAACAUUGAGCACUUGAAUAAUUAUAAUUUAGACGGAAAAAUAAAUAGUUUCCGAACAACAUGGAGACAUAUGUCCUUGACUUUUUAAUCUGAGAAAUGUUCAAAUAGAUUAAACCUCUAGUGUAUCCUUACCAUGAUAGCCAAAAAUAAAUCCAAUCAAAUUUAUCAUUCUGAAUAAUUGGGAUCGCAAUUUUUGAUUGAGGCUUUUUGCCUUAGUAUAUUUAGUAACAAAAAUGUCCUUUCUUGGAUUUUUAUAACCAAAGAGAAUAUGUUUUUAUAUCGGGCUAAUCCUAAUAGGGAGUUAUUAUAAUAAGGGAUAUAUAUAUUUGAAAUGUUAUGCUAAUCAUACGUUCGGUAGGUAUGAGUGAAAUCUUCCUUCUAUUUCCUUUUAAGUAUUAGUUGAGUCUUCUUUUGAUAUUUCAGUUUCAGGUUCGCAAUUUUAGGCCAUUGGCAAGGCGAGCGAUUUGAACAUAUGCAUUCGAUUCAUCGAUUCCGUAGAAAAUUGACGAUCAAAUCGGUCAGUACGUUAGUUGCAGUGUAGUAUGACAGCAUGAUAACAUGACAUUAUUAAAUGUUGCAAUGGAAAUGUACAAUAACAAAGUAAGUACAAACAUAUAUUUUUUUUUAUUAAACAAUUAUUAUAGUUAAAAGAAUGAUAAAUGAUGUUUAUAAUAAUUCGUCUCCCCAAAACAAACAAACAAACUAAUGUUUGUUUCUAGAUUCUAAUAUUUACCCUAACACAAUGUACUGUAGAAUUAAAUCAAUUUCAUUCUUUGCUCAACGUAGUUAAUCAAGUAAAAUUCAUUAACUGAUGACCAGGAACAAAUCAGGAAACCGAGUUUUUUUGGCAUCUUUUCUAUUAUAUGUAUAUUGAUUGUCUAUUGUAUAUAUAUAUAUAACUUC